This 24-nucleotide non-coding RNA is filed under the name Arabidopsis thaliana (thale cress). Lineage: Eukaryota; Viridiplantae; Streptophyta; Magnoliopsida; Brassicales; Brassicaceae. The record is from RNAcentral.
UGAACUGAUUCUGGAGCAGUGGUA